ACAUGGUGCCGUCCGGCUGCACAGCGGACAUGACACAGCAGCGAGGCCGCAACUAGGCGUACGUAAACGUAGGUGAAAUCAUUAUAUGGUUGCCGCUUCACUGUUGGUUCAUGGAGGUGGAAAGUGGUUGGACUUAAAGCCACUUUUUCAGCUCUUGCCGUUUGUUUAUUUGACUGGAGGGGGACGACCACUUCAAGUUCACUGGAAAACACGAGCGACCGUCCAUGGCCGCUCACUCGGGGGUUGAAGCAGCACCCAACGCAGGCCAGCCGGAUUCCUCGGUAAUCUGCUGGUGUUGUGUCCUCCCUUUUAGAUGUCCCAUAUCUUUGGGCUUUGCUCCCAGUAAAUUCCAGGGAGAACUGCUGGAUGGUCCAUUGCAGUUUCCACAGUCCACAGCCUUCCUUUGUUGAGCUAAGUGGCUGUCUGUUAGGACACUUCUGCUCACCAUUUUGAGACAUCGAUACAGUAGUUUCAUUCCCCGACUGUCCAUUUACAUCCACAUACACUUCAAAACAGUGAAUUUUCAUUUCCAGGAUUGACAUCCUCUGCAGCAGUCCGUGAUAGUCCUCAGCGGAAAAGGGGGCAUCUUGAUUGCUGGUCUUGUUGUUAAUAGCAAUGGUCAGAACCUUGAAAAUGUAUUAUUUAUUCCCCCUCCAAAAACAGUCAGGGUUUUUCCAAGAAUAAAGUUGCAUGUUUUUCAGAGAUUGAAACAACA
Phyllopteryx taeniolatus (common seadragon) is the source of this 715-nucleotide long non-coding RNA. RefSeq lists it as uncharacterized. The transcript is spliced from 2 exons. The record is from RefSeq and is a predicted model, not a curated record. NCBI's taxonomy places the organism in Eukaryota, Metazoa, Chordata, Actinopteri, Syngnathiformes, Syngnathidae.